This 481-nucleotide ribosomal RNA is filed under the name uncultured bacterium. RNAcentral describes it as "bacterial SSU rRNA". It matches the Rfam family "Bacterial small subunit ribosomal RNA", at positions 30 to 507 of the family's 1533-position model. The record is from RNAcentral.
AUUGAACGCUGGCGGCAUGCCUUACACAUGCAAGUCGAACAGCAGCGGACCUUCGGGUGCCGGCGAGUGGCGAACGGGUGAGUAAUAUAUCGGAACGUACCUUUCAGUGGGGAUAACGUAGCGAAAGUUACGCUAAUACCGCAUAUUCUGUGAGCAGGAAAGCAGGGGAUCGCAAGACCUUGCGCUGAUUGAGCGGCCGAUAUCAGAUUAGCUAGUUGGUGAGGUAAAGGCUCACCAAGGCGACGAUCUGUAGCGGGUCUGAGAGGAUGAUCCGCCACACUGGAACUGAGACACGGUCCAGACUCCUACGGGAGGCAGCAGUGGGGAAUUUUAAACAAUGGGCGCAAGCCUGAUCCAGCCAUGCCGCGUGAGUGAAGAAGGCCUUCGGGUUGUAAAGCUCUUUCGGCCGGGAAGAAAUCGCACAGGUUAAUACCCUGUGUGGAUGACGGUACCGGAAUAAGAAGCACCGGCUAACUACGUG